CCCUUAGAUGUUCUGGGCCGCACGCGCGCUACACUGAUGCGUUCAACAAGUUUCCUUGGCCGAGAGGCCUGGGCAAUCUUCUUAAUAUGUAUCGUGAUAGGGAUAGAUUAUUGCAAUUAUUAAUCUUGAACGAGGAAUUCCUAGUAAACGCAGAUCAUCAAUCUGCAUUGAUUACGUCCCCGCCCUUUGUACACACCGCCCGUCGCACCUACCGAUUGGAUGUUCCGGUGAAGCCUCGGGAUGAGGACUGGUGCCUUUAUUGGCAUGAGUUGUUCAGAACUUGUCUAAACCUUAUCAUCUAGAGGAAGGUGAAGUCGUAACA
RNAcentral lists this ribosomal RNA (322 nucleotides) under uncultured eukaryote. RNAcentral describes it as "partial 18S ribosomal RNA". It matches the Rfam family "Eukaryotic small subunit ribosomal RNA", at positions 1470 to 1796 of the family's 1831-position model. The record is from RNAcentral.